RNAcentral lists this long non-coding RNA (842 nucleotides) under Nicotiana benthamiana. RNAcentral describes it as "long non-coding RNA (NBEN_LNC006908)". The record is from RNAcentral. Lineage: Eukaryota; Viridiplantae; Streptophyta; Magnoliopsida; Solanales; Solanaceae.
UAAACUGAAAGGUCAGUCUAAUUUAUUUGUAUUGAUACUCUUCGCUAAACUUUUGUCUGCACAACUAUAUUCAUUUUCAGCUGGCAUACACAUUAGCCAUGAAAUUUCAUGUUUUUUCAUUUACUAGCUUUGCUCCUUUAUACAGGAGGGAAUUCUGGGGUCAUGGAUAUGGUGCUACUCAUGUUUUCUGAUAAGAUUGUACCAGUAAAGAAGGCCUUUUUUUCAUACAAGCAUUGUCAUUUUGAAACAAGUCUCCCCAUGGUUUCGGAGAUAUGUUUAAAUAUAUGCACUCCACUCUCAUGCGAGAGUGUUUUGUUUAUGUUUAAAUAUAUGCACUCCACUCUUAUGCGAGAGUGUUUUGUUUCUGAGUUGUAAAAGUACUGUUUCUAUCUUUCACAUUCUGCUUUGGUUGUAUUUAUUUUGUUUCAUUCUUGUAAACUGUUGCUUUCAUCUAUCAUUGUUCUGUUGAAAGACAAUGUUAUUCCAAACAAAUAAAGUGUUGUGUGUCUUAUUUCCUACUCAGUGUGAUGAAUGAAACAGCCUCUCUGCACUUUCAGGUAGGGGUAAAGCUCGUCUACAUGUUACCCUUCCCAGACCCCACUUUGUGGGACUAUACUGGGUAGUUGUUGUUGUCGUCUUUUAGAUGAAUUCAAAUUAUUCCUAAUUGGAAGGUUUCUAGUUCAAGUUUCGAAUCCAUUGUUUGCAAUUGUUUGCAAAAAGUGAGAUUAUUCACUUAGAAAAUAUGACAUGUUACGACAUGUUAAAAUUGAUAUUACAAAGAUUCUUUACGUUAUCGGUGUAUAUAAACUACAUCCACCUUAUCCGAAACUGUUGAAAUGCAU